AUAUUUAGUAUUAAGCUACUUGCAGUAGUCUUGUAGAGUAAUAUUUGCCUGUGUGUCAAAUUUUUCAUUGCAUUUGGCUCAUAAAAUCCUCAUGUCUCUUUAUGGCCACCAGAGCCAGAGGAGGUGGGAGAUCUAUUUCAACAGUUGGCUGUACCUGCAGAGACAGAAACCAAGAGGACAGAAGAGUUCGCUGGAGCUACAGCCAGCAGAUUUCCCAAGUUAUCUAGCACAGUGGCUGCAGAGGAUAACACUCAGUUAAUAGCUCCUAGAUUUACAGGUCCUAAAGUGAAUGAAGAUUCCUGUUUGGUGAUUCACAAUGCCAAAUUGCAACUAUCUCAGGGUAAGCAACUGUUUUUUGAAGCAUAUUCUGGUUGUUAUCAAAAUUAAUUUCUUUGCUUCUUGUCUUAGUCUGAAUUUGGUGAGAUCUUUCUUUAUUCAUCAUGUUGAUCAAAGUGUGAAGAAAGGGUGAGAGACAGAAAGAGAACAAUAGGAAGUCCAGUAUCAUCAUUUUUUAUGUAACCCAUUAUUAUGGUAAUAAACUUUAAUUCAUUCUUAAGGGCA
Molecule: long non-coding RNA, 561 nt
Filed under: Oryctolagus cuniculus (rabbit)
Lineage: Eukaryota; Metazoa; Chordata; Mammalia; Lagomorpha; Leporidae
Description: lncRNA (ENSOCUG00000035666.1)
Source: RNAcentral